This 305-nucleotide ribosomal RNA is filed under the name uncultured bacterium. RNAcentral's name for it is "partial 16S ribosomal RNA". It matches the Rfam family "Bacterial small subunit ribosomal RNA", at positions 338 to 657 of the family's 1533-position model. The record is from RNAcentral.
CCUACGGGAGGCAGCAGUGGGGGAUAUUGGACAAUGGGGGGAACCCUGAUCCAGCGACGCCGCGUGAGUGAAGAAGUAUUUCGGUAUGUAAAGCUCUGUCAGCAGGGAAGAAAGCAAUGACGGUACCUGACCAAGAAGCCCCGGCUAACUACGUGCCAGCAGCCGCGGUAAUGCGUAGGGGGCAAGCGUUAUCCGGAAUUACUGGGUGUAAAGGGAGCGUAGACGGCUGUGCAAGCCUGAUGUGAAAGGCGGGGGCGCAACCCUCGGACUGCAUUGGGAACUGUCCGGCUGGAGCGCCGGGGGGG